RNAcentral lists this ribosomal RNA (483 nucleotides) under uncultured bacterium. RNAcentral describes it as "partial 16S ribosomal RNA". It matches the Rfam family "Bacterial small subunit ribosomal RNA", at positions 30 to 507 of the family's 1533-position model. The record is from RNAcentral.
AUUGAACGCUGGCGGCAGGCCUAACACAUGCCAGUCGAGCGGAUGAAGGGAGCUUGCUCCUGGAUUCAGCGGCGGACGGGUGAGUAAUGCCUAGGAAUCUGCCUGGUAGUGGGGGAUAACGUCCGGAAACGGGCGCUAAUACCGCAUACGUCCUGAGGGAGAAAGUGGGGGAUCUUCGGACCUCACGCUAUCAGAUGAGCCUAGGUCGGAUUAGCUAGUUGGUGGGGUAAAGGCCUACCAAGGCGACGAUCCGUAACUGGUCUGAGAGGAUGAUCAGUCACACUGAAAUUGAACCACGGUCCGGCCUCCUCCGGAAGCCAGCGUUGGGAAUUAUUGGACAUUGGCCGAAGGCUUGAUCCAGCCUGGCCGCUUGUUUGAAGAAGUUCUCCGGAUUUUAAACCCCUUUAAGUUGGAGGAAGGGCAGUAAGUUAAUACCUUGCUGUUUUGACGUUACCAACAGAAUAAGCACCGGCUAACUUCGUG